This 492-nucleotide ribosomal RNA is filed under the name uncultured bacterium. RNAcentral describes it as "partial 16S ribosomal RNA". It matches the Rfam family "Bacterial small subunit ribosomal RNA", at positions 30 to 507 of the family's 1533-position model. The record is from RNAcentral.
AUUGAACGCUGGCGGUAGGCCUUACACAUGCAAGUCGAACGGCAACACACUAAGAGCUUGCGCUGACUGGUGGACGGUGGCGUAAUGGAUAGGAAUACACCCGGAUCUACUGUUUCACUACGGGAAAGGUAGGGUAAUACACCCUAAUACCUCAUAAUGACUACGGGGGAACGCAAGGCAUCGUCCGAUCGGACCCGCCUGAGUGAGCCGAUGUAGGAUUAGGUAGAUGGGGGGGUAAAGGCCCACCAAGGCGACGAUCCGUAGCUGGUCUGAGAGGAUGAGCAGCCACACUGGAACUGAGACACGGCCCAGACUCCUACGGGAGGCAGCAGUGGGGAAUAUUGGACAAUGGGCGCAAGCCUGAUCCAGCCAUACCGCGUGCAGGAAGAAGGCCUUCGGGUUGUAAAGUGCUUUUGUACGGAAAGAAACGCAGCUGGUUAAUACCCCGCUGUUCUGACGGUACCGUAAGAAUAAGCACCGGCUAACUUCGUG